Molecule: transfer RNA, 72 nt
Filed under: Ornithorhynchus anatinus (platypus)
Lineage: Eukaryota; Metazoa; Chordata; Mammalia; Monotremata; Ornithorhynchidae
Rfam family: tRNA
About the family: Transfer RNA (tRNA) molecules are approximately 80 nucleotides in length.
Source: Rfam by way of RNAcentral
ACUAGUGUGGCUCAGUGGAAAGAGCACUGAUUUAGGAGUCAGAGGUCAUGGGUUCUAAUCCCAGCUCCGCUA